RNAcentral lists this ribosomal RNA (706 nucleotides) under Escherichia coli. RNAcentral describes it as "bacterial SSU rRNA". It matches the Rfam family "Bacterial small subunit ribosomal RNA", at positions 1 to 703 of the family's 1533-position model. The record is from RNAcentral. Lineage: Bacteria; Pseudomonadati; Pseudomonadota; Gammaproteobacteria; Enterobacterales; Enterobacteriaceae.
UGAGUUUGAUCCUGCCUCAGAUUGAACGCUGGCGGCAGGCCUAACACAUGCAAGUCGAACGGUAACAGGAAGCAGCUUGCUGCUUUGCUGACGAGUGGCGGACGGGUGAGUAAUGUCUGGGAAACUGCCUGAUGGAGGGGGAUAACUACUGGAAACGGUAGCUAAUACCGCAUAACGUCGCAAGACCAAAGAGGGGGACCUUCGGGCCUCUUGCCAUCGGAUGUGCCCAGAUGGGAUUAGCUAGUAGGUGGGGUAAAGGCUCACCUAGGCGACGAUCCCUAGCUGGUCUGAGAGGAUGACCAGCCACACUGGAACUGAGACACGGUCCAGACUCCUACGGGAGGCAGCAGUGGGGAAUAUUGCACAAUGGGCGCAAGCCUGAUGCAACCAUGCCGCGUGUAUGAAGAAGGCCUUCGGGUUGUAAAGUACUUUCAGCGGGGAGGAAGGGAGUAAAGUUAAUACCUUUGCUCAUUGACGUUACCCGCAGAAGAAGCACCGGCUAACUCCGUGCCAGCAGCCGCGGUAAUACGGAGGGUGCAAGCGUUAAUCGGAAUUACUGGGCGUAAAGCGCACGCAGGCGGUUUGUUAAGUCAGAUGUGAAAUCCCCGGGCUCAACCUGGGAGCUGCAUCUGAUACUGGCAAGCUUGAGUCUCGUAGAGGGGGGUAGAAUUCCAGGUGUAGCGGUGAAAUGCGUAGAGAUCUGGAG